RNAcentral lists this ribosomal RNA (433 nucleotides) under uncultured bacterium. Its description in RNAcentral is "partial 16S ribosomal RNA". It matches the Rfam family "Bacterial small subunit ribosomal RNA", at positions 29 to 507 of the family's 1533-position model. The record is from RNAcentral.
AACGAACGCUGGCGGCAUGCCUAACACAUGCAAGUCGAACGAGACCUUCGGGUCUAGUGGCGCACGGGUGCGUAACGCGUGGGAACCUGCCCUUAGGUUCGGAAUAACUCCCCGAAAGGGGUGCUAAUACCGGAUAAUGUCUUCGGACCAAAGAUUUAUCGCCUUUGGAUGGGCCCGCGUUGGAUUAGCUAGUUGGUAGGGUAAAAGCCUACCAAGGCGACGAUCCUUAGCUGGUCUGAGAGGAUGAUCAGCCACACUGGGACUGAGACACGGCCCAGACUCCUACGGGAGGCAGCAGUGGGGAAUAUUGGACAAUGGGCGAAAGCCUGAUCCAGCAAUGCCGCGUGAGUGAUGAAGGCCUUAGGGUUGUAAAGCUCUUUUACCCGGGAUGAUAAUGACAGUACCGGGAGAAUAAGCUCCGGCUAACUCCGUG